RNAcentral lists this ribosomal RNA (263 nucleotides) under uncultured Terrimonas sp. Its description in RNAcentral is "partial 16S ribosomal RNA". It matches the Rfam family "Bacterial small subunit ribosomal RNA", at positions 56 to 310 of the family's 1533-position model. The record is from RNAcentral. Lineage: Bacteria; Pseudomonadati; Bacteroidota; Chitinophagia; Chitinophagales; Chitinophagaceae.
UGCAAGUCGUGGGGCAGCAGGUCUGUAGCAAUACAGAUGCUGGCGACCGGCAAACGGGUGUGGAACACGUACACAACCUUCCUUUAAGUGGGGAAUAGCCCGGGGAAACCCGGAUUAAUACCCCGUAACAUAGUGAAAAGGCAUCUUUUUAUUAUUAUAGCAGCAAUGCGCUUGAUGAUGGGUGUGCGCCUGAUUAGGCAGUUGGCGGGGUAACGGCCCACCAAACCUACGAUCAGUAACUGGUGUGAGAGCCCGAACAGUCA